UGUGGCUAGUAGGGAGAAAUCGAAACUCAGCUGUUAAAACCGCUGCCUCUGCUCUUUGGAACCCCCUCUCGAGACUCGUCCAGCGUCCCAGCCUGCGUCCCUCCCGCAGCGACGGCGGCCCCGGGGACCAGGACCGCGGGCUCUGAACCAUGUACACCCGCAGUAAAGUGGUGGGCUCCAGGCUCGGCGCCACCCCUGCCUCCCAGGACCCCAGUAGGGGGCGCGGGGAGCUGGGUCCCUUGCAAAGCCAGAGACAGGGUGUGGAGGCGGCCCCUGGGGCGCCUUGGCGGGAGAGCCUGGGCCACGCGGGCCAGGGGAGCACAGGUGCAUAUACCAUGAUUGCACCAAAUGAAAGCCGGAGACAUCAGAUACAGAGGAUUGCUGCGCAAGAACUGUCCAACCUGGAGAAGUGGAAGGAGCAGAAUAGAGCUAAACCAGUGUAUGUGGUGCCAACACUGCUGGGGGGAAGCCAGUCGGAGACUGAAGUCAGGCAGAAACAACAACUCCAACUGAAGGAAAGUAAAUACCAGCAAAAGCUAAAAAGACAAGAAUCUGUAAGAAUCAGGAAGGAAGCUGAAGAAGCUGAGCUCCAAAAAAUGAAGGCAAUUCAAAGAGAGAAGGUUUGAGUAUUGGUCAAAAUUUAAACCUGAUUAUCAAGCCACAGAUGUUUUAACCAGUUAUGGUUAAUGAAGCUAAAAGCUGA
Molecule: long non-coding RNA, 703 nt
Filed under: Ictidomys tridecemlineatus (thirteen-lined ground squirrel)
Lineage: Eukaryota; Metazoa; Chordata; Mammalia; Rodentia; Sciuridae
Description: lncRNA (ENSSTOG00000005604.3)
Source: RNAcentral